UUUUCGAUUCUAUAAACCUUGGCCGCGUGCAUAUUGCGUCCCACUUCGAGAACUACACUGUCGAAUAAGGAAGCUGCUUCACACGCUCAAGAAAAAGAUUCACUGUUAAUUAUCGAAAAAAAAAAAAAAUUGAAAAUGGAUCCACAGCAACAAGCCGACAAUGACAAUCAUGCGGAUCAGUGCAACCCAAACAACGCAGAGUAUCAAGGGCAUGAGUCUGGGUACACUGGAACUGGGGAUAAAGCUGACUUGGAUAACCAUUCAAAUCAGUUGAACCCGAAUAACGAUAGUUACCAGGGAAAGAAGUAGUUUUCUACUG
Molecule: long non-coding RNA, 319 nt
Organism: Styela clava
Lineage: Eukaryota; Metazoa; Chordata; Ascidiacea; Stolidobranchia; Styelidae
Source: RefSeq, a predicted model, not a curated record